This 710-nucleotide ribosomal RNA is filed under the name Bacteroidota bacterium. RNAcentral's name for it is "bacterial SSU rRNA". It matches the Rfam family "Bacterial small subunit ribosomal RNA", at positions 28 to 734 of the family's 1533-position model. The record is from RNAcentral. Lineage: Bacteria; Pseudomonadati; Bacteroidota.
GAUGAACGCUAGCGGCAGGCUUAAUACAUGCAAGUCGAGGGGCAGCAGGGAUAGCAAUAUUCGCUGGCGACCGGCGCACGGGUGCGUAACACGUAUACAAUCUGCCUUUUACUGGGGGAUAGCCUUUCGAAAGAGAGAUUAAUACCCCAUAAUAGAUUCUUGGGCAUCCAAGGAUUUUGAAAGCUCCGGCGGUAAGAGAUGAGUAUGCGUCUGAUUAGCUAGUAGGUGAGGUAACGGCUCACCUAGGCAACGAUCAGUAGGGGAUCUGAGAGGACUAACCCCCACACGGAUACUGAGACACGGAUCCGACUCCUACGGGAGGCAGCAGUAAGGAAUAUUGGACAAUGCCCGCAAGGGUGAUCCAGCCAUGCCGCGUGCAGGAAGACGGCCCUAUGGGUUGUAAACUGCUUUUAUACAAGAGAAAACCUCCCUACGUGUAGGGAGCUGAUAGUAUUGUAGGAAUAAGCAUCGGCUAACUUCGUGCCAGCAGCCGCGGUAAGACGAAGGAUGCAAGCGUUAUCCGGAUUCAUUGGGUUUAAAGGGAGCGUAGGCGGUCUUAUAAGUCAGUGGUGAAAGCUCCUCGCUUAACGAGGAAAUUGCCAUUGAUACUGUAGGACUUGAGUACAGUUGCUGUGGGCGGAAUAUGACAUGUAGUGGUGAAAUACAUAGAUAUGUCAUAGAACACCGAUUGCGAAGGCAGCUCACAAAAC